Molecule: ribosomal RNA, 492 nt
Filed under: uncultured bacterium
Lineage: Bacteria
Description: partial 16S ribosomal RNA
Rfam family: Bacterial small subunit ribosomal RNA
Source: RNAcentral
AGUGAACGCUGGCGGUAGGCCUAACACAUGCAAGUCGAACGGCAGCACAGUAAGAGCUUGCUCUUACGGGUGGCGAGUGGCGGACGGGUGAGGAAUACAUCGGAAUCUACUUUUUCGUGGGGGAUAACGUAGGGAAACUUACGCUAAUACCGCAUACGACCUACGGGUGAAAGCAGGGGAUCUUCGGACCUUGCGCGAUUGAAUGAGCCGAUGUCGGAUUAGCUAGUUGGCGGGGUAAAGGCCGACCAAGGCGACGAUCCGUAGCUGGUCUGAGAGGGUGAUCGGCCACACUGGAACUGAGACACGGUCCAGACUCCUACGGGAGGCAGCAGUGGGGAAUAUUGGGCAAUGGGCGCAAGCCUGAUCCAGCCAUACCGCGUGGGUGAAGAAGGCCUUCGGGUUGUAAAGCCCUUUUGUUAGGAAAGAAAAGCAGCAGAUUAAUACCCCGCUGUUCUGACGGUACCCAAAGAAUAAGCACCGGCUAACUUCGUG